This 770-nucleotide long non-coding RNA is filed under the name Piliocolobus tephrosceles (Ugandan red Colobus). Its description in RNAcentral is "lncRNA (ENSPTEG00000039004.1)". Lineage: Eukaryota; Metazoa; Chordata; Mammalia; Primates; Cercopithecidae. The record is from RNAcentral.
UGAGCCAGGAAUGGUGGGUAGAAUGAACGUAAGUCACUUCUAAGUUUGACCCUUGAAAACGUUCCGCUUGAACCUCCUUUCUCUCAUUUCUCUGCUAGAAUGACUCUCGGACCACAUUUUCCAGUGGCAUAGUCAUCAGAGGAAGGAGAGCCUACCCAGUGUGAUGUGAAUAAAUGGAUGAAGUUCUACUUUGUUACUGCUUCAUGGCCCAGUUUCCUAAUGCAGGUUACGGAUUAUGCAAGUUUACAACAUCAUCUAACUUGGCACCAAUCUGGGCGAAUCUAGAGCAGUGGCCAGUUUGUGAUGAGCCACAUCCAGAAUGCAGUGGGGGAGCUCACAACUGGACAUCUUAGCAAAUACCAAAUCCAGAAGUGAAUCCCUACAAUGUGAGAAGACUCUCACAAUUGCCUUUCUCAAGAACACCACCUUGGCCACUUCACCUUUCUCUGAAGAGCACCACUCGUCUUUCCCCGGAAGGAUGGAUGCAGGAUGCUGCCUCCACAGGGCCACAGAAGCCAUUGUUCCAAGAAGCACCGGCUUCUUGGGCUUUUAGCUUAAUGGAUUUCCAUGUUAGGACCUAGACUUCUGUCUCUCCCUUAUUUUCCCACCAAUCCCCACAGCAGAAUGCAGUCCUCUUCCAAAUAUCUCCAACAGUUGACCGCUCAUCUUCCCGUCAAGCUGUCAGUGAGAGUCUAUUAAAUGGCCCAAUCUUGAAAUCCUUCUGAUGAACACAAAUGAGAAAUAAACUUAUGAAACAGCUCCGAGUUACA